Molecule: transfer RNA, 73 nt
Rfam family: tRNA
About the family: Transfer RNA (tRNA) molecules are approximately 80 nucleotides in length. Their secondary structure includes four short double-helical elements and three loops (D, anti-codon, and T loops).
GGCGACGUGGCCGAGUGGUCAAGGCAGCGGUCUGCAAAACCGUUUUGCAGCGGUUCGAAUCCGCUCGUCGCCU